UACGGCCAUAUCACGUUGAAACACCGGUUCCCGCACGAUCACCGAAGUUAAAACGUCGAGCCUGAUCUAUAUCUCGAUGAGUGACCGCUUGGGAAUACCAUGUUCUGUAA
Molecule: ribosomal RNA, 110 nt
Filed under: Acanthosepion pharaonis
Lineage: Eukaryota; Metazoa; Mollusca; Cephalopoda; Sepiida; Sepiidae
Source: RNAcentral